AGCAGUCGCCACGGGAAUACGUAGGUGGCAAGCGUUGUCCGGAAUUAUUGGGCGUAAAGCGCGCGCAGGCGGAUAGGUCAGUCUGUCUUAAAAGUUCGGGGCUUAACCCCGUGAUGGGAUGGAAACUGCCAAUCUAGAGUAUCGGAGAGGAAAGUGGAAUUCCUGGUGUAGCGGUGAAAUGCGUAGAUAUUAGGAAGAACACCAGUGGCGAAGGCGACUUUCUGGACGAAAACUGACGCUGAGGCGCGAAAGCCAGGGGAGCGAACGGGAUUAGAUACCCGCGUAGUCCCUGUCUCUUAUACA
Molecule: ribosomal RNA, 303 nt
Filed under: uncultured bacterium
Lineage: Bacteria
Description: partial 16S ribosomal RNA
Rfam family: Bacterial small subunit ribosomal RNA
Source: RNAcentral